CAAAAAUCUCAUUUUAAUAACCCUAUACAUGUAGGGAGUGAAAGUGCUAUGAAUGGCAGAAAUAAAAUUGUAAAUAUGAUGGAGCUCAUGUUACAGGAAAUGAGAACGGGUCAGUGGUAAAUAUGUCUGAAUGUUUAGAAAAAAAAUGUUUAGUUUAUUGAUAUAUUGCUUACCGGUAUAUGUUUACCGCCAUAUGUACUUUUCAUAUGUUCUGAUUACAAACUGAUUGUUUAUGUCAGUGGUAAAUAUGUAUGAAUGAUUAGAAGAAAAAUGUA
This 275-nucleotide long non-coding RNA is filed under the name Mytilus galloprovincialis (Mediterranean mussel). The record is from RNAcentral. Lineage: Eukaryota; Metazoa; Mollusca; Bivalvia; Mytilida; Mytilidae.